Topomyia yanbarensis is the source of this 599-nucleotide long non-coding RNA. RefSeq lists it as uncharacterized. The record is from RefSeq and is a predicted model, not a curated record. NCBI's taxonomy places the organism in Eukaryota, Metazoa, Arthropoda, Insecta, Diptera, Culicidae. The transcript has 4 exons.
CGCAGGCGAGGGCGUAACGAUACAAUAGUAGCCUUAGUUACGCCUGUUAAUCAAAACAGUGAAAAUGGGACAUAAAAAAUAAAUGGUAUGGAUAAUUUACCCACAGAUGUACAUUGUUGUAUGAAAAUCUCCAAAGAGCUAAGCCUUUGCUAGUAACCCGUGACUAGCGCCAUCGAGCAAGAGAUUACCUUUUUUAAAUCAAACGGUAACCAAUUCUCAGACUAGCAGUUCAGUCUCGGUACAGAAUAUAGUUCAUUUCGUUCACGUAUUUCAUUUCGAAUGUGGUAAAUUUAUCAACAAAGUACCGGACUAUUCCCUGUACGGGACUGACUAAUGGAGACCGGAUUUCUACAAUGUUUGGCUGAGGAUUUCUACGAGACAUUUACGUAAGAUAUCACAGUGGAAUAUUAUGAUACCACUAUGAACGCUGGACGAACUGCAUAAAAUAUUCAACGAGAAAAAAUCUAAUUUUCAUCAGAACGUCAUCUAUGCAAUUGGUUUUUUCGGAAGAUUGAGCCGAUGUGCAAGAAGUCUGAAAUGUCGGCCAGCUUCAAGACAAACAAGGCAAAAUCAGAUUAAUUUAGACCAAUAGUUUUCAA